RNAcentral lists this ribosomal RNA (253 nucleotides) under uncultured bacterium. RNAcentral describes it as "partial 16S ribosomal RNA". It matches the Rfam family "Bacterial small subunit ribosomal RNA", at positions 524 to 776 of the family's 1533-position model. The record is from RNAcentral.
UACGAAGGUGGCUAGCGUUGUUCGGAUUUAUUGGGCGUAAAGGGUCCGCAGGCGGUUUGAUAAGUCAGGUGUGAAAUCCAACAGCUUAACUGUUGACACGCAUUUGAUACUGUCAGACUAGAGUAUGAGAGGGGUGAGAGGAAUUUCCAGUGUAGGGGUGAGAUCCGUAGAUAUUGGAAAGAACACCGGCCGCGAAGGCGUUUCACUGGCUCAUUACUGACGCUCAGGGACGAAAGCUAGGGGAGCAAACGGG